AUUGAACGCUGGCGGCAUGCCUUACACAUGCAAGUCGAACGGUAGAGUAGCAAUACUUGAGAGUGGCGAACGGGUGAGUAAUAUAUCGGAACGUGCCCAGUCGUGGGGGAUAACGUAGAGAAAUUUACGCUAAUACCGCAUACGAUCUAAGGAUGAAAGCGGGGGAUUCGCAAGAACCUCGCGCGAUUGGAGCGGCUGAUAUCAGAUUAGGUUGUUGGUGAGGUAAAAGCUCACCAAGCCGACGAUCUGUAGCUGGUUUGAGAGAACGACCAGCCACACUGGGACUGAGACACGGCCCAGACUCCUACGGGAGGCAGCAGUGGGGAAUUUUGGACAAUGGGCGAAAGCCUGAUCCAGCAAUGCCGCGUGCAGGAAGAAGGCCUUC
Molecule: ribosomal RNA, 385 nt
Filed under: uncultured bacterium
Lineage: Bacteria
Description: bacterial SSU rRNA
Rfam family: Bacterial small subunit ribosomal RNA
Source: RNAcentral